CGAUUAGAUGGAAGUGAUGAAGUAUAGCUUGUAUUUUGGACACUUAAGCUAUAUUGAGCUAGUAGUGUAACCGGCCUCGUAGUAU
This 85-nucleotide non-coding RNA is filed under the name Clostridium autoethanogenum. RNAcentral describes it as "c-di-GMP-II sequence". It matches the Rfam family "Cyclic di-GMP-II riboswitch aptamer". The record is from RNAcentral. Lineage: Bacteria; Bacillati; Bacillota; Clostridia; Eubacteriales; Clostridiaceae.